UCUCGGCUUAUCACCGGCAGUCCCCCUAGAGUGCCCAACCAAAUGAUGGCAACUAGGGGCGAGGGUUGCGCUCGUUGCGGGACUUAACCCAACAUCUCACGACACGAGCUGACGACAGCCAUGCAGCACCUGUGUUCCGGCCAGCCGAACUGAAGGAUCCUGUCUCCAGGAUCCAUACCGGACAUGUCAAAGGCUGGUAAGG
Molecule: unclassified non-coding RNA, 202 nt
Filed under: uncultured Alphaproteobacteria bacterium
Lineage: Bacteria; Pseudomonadati; Pseudomonadota; Alphaproteobacteria
Description: contains 16S-23S intergenic spacer region
Source: RNAcentral